Molecule: ribosomal RNA, 463 nt
Filed under: uncultured bacterium
Lineage: Bacteria
Description: partial 16S ribosomal RNA
Rfam family: Bacterial small subunit ribosomal RNA
Source: RNAcentral
GAUGAACGCUGACAGAAUGCUUAACACAUGCAAGUCGAUGGGGAAGUGGUGCUUGCACCAUGGUAACCAUGGCGGACGGGUGAGUAACGCGUAAGGAACUUGCCUGCGGGACUGGGAUAACAGCAGGAAACUGCUGAUAAUACCGGAUGAGGUCAUUAAGCUGCAUAGCUUAGUGAUGAAAGGAGACGCCUGCGGAGAGCCUUGCGUCCUAUUAGCUAGUUGGAGGGGUAACGGCCCACCAAGGCGAAGAAAGGUAGCCGGCCUGAGAGGGUGGACGGCCACAAGGGGACUGAGAUACGGCCCUUACUCCUACGGGAGGCAGCAGUGGGGAAUAUUGGACAAUGGGGGCAACCCUGAUCCAGCAAUUCUGUGUGCACGAAGACGGUUUUCGGAUUGUAAAGUGCUUUCAGCAGGGAAGAAGGAAGUGACGGUACCUGCAGAAGAAGCGACGGCUAAAUACGUG